This 253-nucleotide ribosomal RNA is filed under the name uncultured bacterium. RNAcentral's name for it is "partial 16S ribosomal RNA". It matches the Rfam family "Bacterial small subunit ribosomal RNA", at positions 524 to 776 of the family's 1533-position model. The record is from RNAcentral.
UACGGAGGGUGCAAGCGUUAUCCGGAUUCACUGGGCUUAAAGGGUGCGUAGGCGGCUAGGGAAGUCCGUGGUGAAAUCCUGCAGCUUAACUGCAGAACUGCCGUGGAUACUCUCUAUCUUGAAUAUCGUGGAGGUUAGCGGAAUAUGUCAUGUAGCGGUGAAAUGCUUAGAUAUGACAUAGAACACCCAUUGCGAAGGCAGCUAACUGCGCGAUCAUUGACGCUGAUGCACGAAAGCGUGGGGAGCAAACAGG